GAGGGUAUAGCUCAGUGGUAGAGUGUACGCUUGGCAUGCAUGAGGUCCUGGGUUCAGUCCCCAGUACAUCCA
Molecule: transfer RNA, 72 nt
Filed under: Camelus bactrianus (Bactrian camel)
Lineage: Eukaryota; Metazoa; Chordata; Mammalia; Artiodactyla; Camelidae
Also listed under: 1 other name
Rfam family: tRNA
About the family: Transfer RNA (tRNA) molecules are approximately 80 nucleotides in length. Their secondary structure includes four short double-helical elements and three loops (D, anti-codon, and T loops).
Source: Rfam by way of RNAcentral